GAUGAACGCUGGCGGCGUGCCUAAUACAUGCAAGUCGAGCGAAUGGAUUGAGAGCUUGCUCUUAUGAAGUUAGCGGCGGACGGGUGAGUAACACGUGGGUAACCUGCCCAUAAGACUGGGAUAACUCCGGGAAACCGGGGCUAAUACCGGAUAACAUUUUGAACCGCAUGGUUCGAAAUUGAAAGGCGGCUUCGGCUGUCACUUAUGGAUGGACCCGCGUCGCAUUAGCUAGUUGGUGAGGUAACGGCUCACCAAGGCAACGAUGCGUAGCCGACCUGAGAGAGUGAUCGGUCACACUGGGACUGAGACACGGCCCAGACUCCUACGGGAGGCAGCAGUAGGGAAUCUUCCGCAAUGGACGAAAGUCUGACGGAGCAACGCCGCGUGAGUGAUGAAGGCUUUCGGGUCGCAAAACUCUGUUGUUAGGGAAGAACAAGUGCUAGUUGAAUAAGCUGGCACCUUGACGGUACCUAACCAGAAAGCCACGGCUAACUACGUGCCAGCCGCCGCCGUAA
RNAcentral lists this ribosomal RNA (515 nucleotides) under uncultured bacterium. Its description in RNAcentral is "partial 16S ribosomal RNA". It matches the Rfam family "Bacterial small subunit ribosomal RNA", at positions 28 to 523 of the family's 1533-position model. The record is from RNAcentral.